RNAcentral lists this transfer RNA (71 nucleotides) under Gempylus serpens (snake mackerel). Its description in RNAcentral is "tRNA-Trp". It matches the Rfam family "tRNA". From Rfam's summary of the family: Transfer RNA (tRNA) molecules are approximately 80 nucleotides in length. Their secondary structure includes four short double-helical elements and three loops (D, anti-codon, and T loops). The record is from RNAcentral. Lineage: Eukaryota; Metazoa; Chordata; Actinopteri; Scombriformes; Gempylidae.
AGGGACUUAGGAUAACACUAGUCCAAGGGCCUUCAAAGUCCUAAGUGGGAGUGAAAAUCUCCCAGUCCCUG